RNAcentral lists this ribosomal RNA (2931 nucleotides) under Escherichia coli O26:H11. RNAcentral describes it as "23S ribosomal RNA". It matches the Rfam family "Bacterial large subunit ribosomal RNA". The record is from RNAcentral. Lineage: Bacteria; Pseudomonadati; Pseudomonadota; Gammaproteobacteria; Enterobacterales; Enterobacteriaceae.
GGGUUGUGAGGUUAAGCGACUAAGCGUACACGGUGGAUGCCCUGGCAGUCAGAGGCGAUGAAGGACGUGCUAAUCUGCGAUAAGCGUCGGUAAGGUGAUAUGAACCGUUAUAACCGGCGAUUUCCGAAUGGGGAAACCCAGUGUGUUUCGACACACUAUCAUUAACUGAAUCCAUAGGUUAAUGAGGCGAACCGGGGGAACUGAAACAUCUAAGUACCCCGAGGAAAAGAAAUCAACCGAGAUUCCCCCAGUAGCGGCGAGCGAACGGGGAGCAGCCCAGAGCCUGAAUCAGUAUGUGUGUUAGUGGAAGCGUCUGGAAAGGCGCGCGAUACAGGGUGACAGCCCCGUACACAAAAAUGCACAUGCUGUGAGCUCGAUGAGUAGGGCGGGACACGUGGUAUCCUGUCUGAAUAUGGGGGGACCAUCCUCCAAGGCUAAAUACUCCUGACUGACCGAUAGUGAACCAGUACCGUGAGGGAAAGGCGAAAAGAACCCCGGCGAGGGGAGUGAAAAAGAACCUGAAACCGUGUACGUACAAGCAGUGGGAGCACGCUUAGGCGUGUGACUGCGUACCUUUUGUAUAAUGGGUCAGCGACUUAUAUUCUGUAGCAAGGUUAACCGAAUAGGGGAGCCGAAGGGAAACCGAGUCUUAACUGGGCGUUAAGUUGCAGGGUAUAGACCCGAAACCCGGUGAUCUAGCCAUGGGCAGGUUGAAGGUUGGGUAACACUAACUGGAGGACCGAACCGACUAAUGUUGAAAAAUUAGCGGAUGACUUGUGGCUGGGGGUGAAAGGCCAAUCAAACCGGGAGAUAGCUGGUUCUCCCCGAAAGCUAUUUAGGUAGCGCCUCGUGAAUUCAUCUCCGGGGGUAGAGCACUGUUUCGGCAAGGGGGUCAUCCCGACUUACCAACCCGAUGCAAACUGCGAAUACCGGAGAAUGUUAUCACGGGAGACACACGGCGGGUGCUAACGUCCGUCGUGAAGAGGGAAACAACCCAGACCGCCAGCUAAGGUCCCAAAGUCAUGGUUAAGUGGGAAACGAUGUGGGAAGGCCCAGACAGCCAGGAUGUUGGCUUAGAAGCAGCCAUCAUUUAAAGAAAGCGUAAUAGCUCACUGGUCGAGUCGGCCUGCGCGGAAGAUGUAACGGGGCUAAACCAUGCACCGAAGCUGCGGCAGCGACGCUUAUGCGUUGUUGGGUAGGGGAGCGUUCUGUAAGCCUGUGAAGGUGUGCUGUGAGGCAUGCUGGAGGUAUCAGAAGUGCGAAUGCUGACAUAAGUAACGAUAAAGCGGGUGAAAAGCCCGCUCGCCGGAAGACCAAGGGUUCCUGUCCAACGUUAAUCGGGGCAGGGUGAGUCGACCCCUAAGGCGAGGCCGAAAGGCGUAGUCGAUGGGAAACAGGUUAAUAUUCCUGUACUUGGUGUUACUGCGAAGGGGGGACGGAGAAGGCUAUGUUGGCCGGGCGACGGUUGUCCCGGUUUAAGCGUGUAGGCUGGUUUUCCAGGCAAAUCCGGAAAAUCAAGGCUGAGGCGUGAUGACGAGGCACUACGGUGCUGAAGCAACAAAUGCCCUGCUUCCAGGAAAAGCCUCUAAGCAUCAGGUAACAUCAAAUCGUACCCCAAACCGACACAGGUGAUCAGGUAGAGAAUACCAAGGCGCUUGAGAGAACUCGGGUGAAGGAACUAGGCAAAAUGGUGCCGUAACUUCGGGAGAAGGCACGCUGAUAUGUAGGUGAAGUCCCUCGCGGAUGGAGCUGAAAUCAGUCGAAGAUACCAGCUGGCUGCAACUGUUUAUUAAAAACACAGCACUGUGCAAACACGAAAGUGGACGUAUACGGUGUGACGCCUGCCCGGUGCCGGAAGGUUAAUUGAUGGGGUCAGCGCAAGCGAAGCUCUUGAUCGAAGCCCCGGUAAACGGCGGCCGUAACUAUAACGGUCCUAAGGUAGCGAAAUUCCUUGUCGGGUAAGUUCCGACCUGCACGAAUGGCGUAAUGAUGGCCAGGCUGUCUCCACCCGAGACUCAGUGAAAUUGAACUCGCUGUGAAGAUGCAGUGUACCCGCGGCAAGACGGAAAGACCCCGUGAACCUUUACUAUAGCUUGACACUGAACAUUGAGCCUUGAUGUGUAGGAUAGGUGGGAGGCUUUGAAGUGUGGACGCCAGUCUGCAUGGAGCCGACCUUGAAAUACCACCCUUUAAUGUUUGAUGUUCUAACGUUGACCCGUAAUCCGGGUUGCGGACAGUGUCUGGUGGGUAGUUUGACUGGGGCGGUCUCCUCCUAAAGAGUAACGGAGGAGCACGAAGGUUGGCUAAUCCUGGUCGGACAUCAGGAGGUUAGUGCAAUGGCAUAAGCCAGCUUGACUGCGAGCGUGACGGCGCGAGCAGGUGCGAAAGCAGGUCAUAGUGAUCCGGUGGUUCUGAAUGGAAGGGCCAUCGCUCAACGGAUAAAAGGUACUCCGGGGAUAACAGGCUGAUACCGCCCAAGAGUUCAUAUCGACGGCGGUGUUUGGCACCUCGAUGUCGGCUCAUCACAUCCUGGGGCUGAAGUAGGUCCCAAGGGUAUGGCUGUUCGCCAUUUAAAGUGGUACGCGAGCUGGGUUUAGAACGUCGUGAGACAGUUCGGUCCCUAUCUGCCGUGGGCGCUGGAGAACUGAGGGGGGCUGCUCCUAGUACGAGAGGACCGGAGUGGACGCAUCACUGGUGUUCGGGUUGUCAUGCCAAUGGCACUGCCCGGUAGCUAAAUGCGGAAGAGAUAAGUGCUGAAAGCAUCUAAGCACGAAACUUGCCCCGAGAUGAGUUCUCCCUGACUCCUUGAGAGUCCUGAAGGAACGUUGAAGACGACGACGUUGAUAGGCCGGGUGUGUAAGCGCAGCGAUGCGUUGAGCUAACCGGUACUAAUGAACCGUGAGGCUUAACCUUACAACGCCGAAGGUGUUU